Triticum aestivum (bread wheat) is the source of this 5606-nucleotide long non-coding RNA. RefSeq lists it as uncharacterized. The transcript has 7 exons. NCBI's taxonomy places the organism in Eukaryota, Viridiplantae, Streptophyta, Magnoliopsida, Poales, Poaceae. The record is from RefSeq and is a predicted model, not a curated record.
ACGACUGCCCCUCCUCAGCGUCCUCCCGCCGCCCCUCUCCUUCGAUCUGAUCUCCUUGGCGUCCCGCCGUCACCGGCGACCCCUCGGCGCCUCGCCGUCGCCGUCACAUCAGACGCCGGCCACUCCUCCGCGACCUCAUGUUGUCGUCCUCUCCUUCGCAAGGAACACCCGACCCUUCCUCCGCGGCCUUGUGACGCCGACCACUCCUUCGUGGCCUCACACCGCCCUCCUCUCCCUCCUUCCUUCGUCCAAGGCCAUGACUUCCCCUCCCUGACGCGAUCUGACGGAGAGAGGGCCAAGCCUUGCCACUCCGGUGGUCACUUUGGCCAAAUCCGGUCGGGGAGCCACCGUAGAGCCUCAACGUCGGCGCAGCAGCAGCAGCAGUCCUUGCGACGGUGAGUGCCGGAGCUCGUCAAGCAACUCGCCGUCGGCGGCCACGACCACCUCAUUCCCUGCCGUGCGUCUCCGUCAACUACUGUGGCAUUGACGACAGCGAGCUAGGAGAGCCUACGAGGUAGACGCCCUACUGACUGUGUGGUCUAGGCCUCCACAUGGCUCCUCUUGCGGCAGACUGCUAGUUGUUUGUCAUGUCCUUGAUCACCCUAAUUUAAUCCAAGUCAGGGUAGUCUCUUGCAUUAAGCCAUCUGGCUCUGCUCUGCAAUUUCUUGAGAGAACAUUGUGGAGAACCUAACUCAUGGAUGGUUGGUUCACUUUUUGGGAUGAAUUGAUGACAAGGAGAGCACGUUGGAAAUAGUAGAAGUGGAGACGGGAGAGGAUGAUGGGAACGAUCAAGUACAUCACAAUCAUCGGCAUCAUGUGGCUCUCCUACACCAACGCAAUUCAGGUUUGAUAAUUGCUGAGGGUGGGUGCCAUGGUCGUCUAUGCUGGGCUUCUGCACGAUCACAUCUUCCACAUGUUUGGUGCUGGAGUGGCUGAUCUUGUGGAAGGGUUACGUUUUCUUCUUCUCAUGGAUUUUGACCAUUGUUUUAGAGGGAUUUGGAUAAUGGUUCUGGUAGUUAGUACAUUCAUAUUCUUUGGCAUCCUCAAGCUGUUGGCUGGAUAUACUGCAAUUAUUGUGAUUUAAAUUAUGAUGGCCUGCAGCAUGCCUCCCUAUAUUUAAGGCAAAUGAUAAUGGAAGUACACCUUCAUGAACAAGUUAGCCGAGGUCUUGGAAUUCCAACCUAGGGUAAACAAGUGAACUCAUUUAACGGUUUCCCCUUUUCUGGUGAUGCAGGUAUAGCUCAUUCAUUAAGGGCUACUCAGCUCUGUCUUUUUCUCUCUCUUUGGUGAUUGGAUUAUAUGCUACUCUGUGUUGAAGGAUCUGUUCAUGCUAAAUUUAACAAAUCUUGUCAUGUUUUCAUAAAUUAUCUAUUUGAUCACUCUGCGUGGAAUGGUAAACAUUUGUAGCAUGAUCAGGGUUUGAUUAUUUUUAUCAGUGCACAUACCUUCAGAAAAUAAACCAAUGGGUCUAUCUUGUUGGUCUUUCUACUUAUGUAUGUAUACAUAUGGGAUGCUUUGUUAGUUCUAUUGUGCAAAUAAUCAUUUUUUGUGUUGAUGAGCUAUGAUAAUGGCUCCCCAAAUUACAAUACUUGCUAAACGUACACUUUGUUGCGAUGAAAUCCUAUUUAUAAACAGUAUAUUUUCCUAAUGGAUUGUGAUUAAACUUUGUUGCUUUUACUCACUUUGGUGCUGCUUCAGUGUGUAUGUACUAAAUCGUAAAAUAAGAUGAUUGUAUAUUUUGCUUUAUAGUCAUUCAGCUUGCUUCAGUGUGAUAUGUACUCACUUUGGUUCAUGAGGAGAAUGCUGAGAAGAUUCAGCUUGCUGUGCUAAAUGUCAUUCUGGCUUGACUCGAUAAUAUCGUGGUAACAUGGUGGAAUAUUUUAUUUUUUUAUUGUAACAAACUGUAGUCAAAUUCAUCAGAUAUAUAUACUUCUAGGAUCGGAGGAACAAGUAGUUUUAGCCUUCUGUUUUCGAAUUCUUAGUUUAACAUCUCUGUACUUGUUGAAGCUGUUAUCUCCAACUCUACAUGAGCAUAGUGAUAUGCAGUAUAAAACAUCUCCAUUUUUCUUCUUCUUUGGUGAGCAUGGAAUAUCCAAAUUGACAUCUAGAGAUAGUUAAGUUGGUAGGGUAAUGUUCACUAGCUUUUUUAGGAUCAAAAUUGAUGCAUUAAUUUUCUUAUCAAAGGAUGAUUAACGGAAUUGUGGUAUUGCGGCCAAAAUAUACUCUCUUCAGUUUGUUGGUAAUGAGCAAAAUGUAGUCCUACUGGUAAUGGGUUUUGGAUUCGUGCGUGAAAUACAUUGUUGCAUGCAUGUUUCCUAAGUGAAAAAUGUAAUGGUUCUGAAUAUAGCUGGAGAUGAAUUAUUUGCAGCAUCUAGGCAACAACAGUGGCAUGGAUACAGUUAACAGUACUAGCAAUUGAUGAUAUUGUUAUAGCAAUUUUAAUUUGGAAAAAAUAUGUGCGAGAUUAGUCUUUUCUUUUCUUUCAUGCAAUGAAGAGAGUACAAAGUAUACUACAAUCUUUUGUAACCCACACAAUAAUUCAAAAAGCAGGGCCAAACAGGACCAAUGAAGACGCGUACAGUACUGUUCUUCAUGAUAUGAUGUUAAUUUUUCCCCACAAAUGAAUUUAAUAUUUAAUUCUUUGUGAGACAACUACUAAAAUGAAGUAGUUUAUAGGUUUGAAAAUUCCAUGUAUUGUGCAUAUUUUUAUGUGCGCACUUGACUCAGAUGCAAGCUAUUCGCAAUACGUAUAUUCUGAAAGAAAACAUGACGUAGCUGCUGAAUGCUCUCUGAAACAUAGCAUAUUUUUUAAAAUACUCUAUUUGCUUUGAAUGAGGUUGCCUUUUGCUUUAAACAAUUAACUGCAUUCUGAAAUACUUUUAAAUUUGGCUAAGAUUAAGAGAUCUAGCAAAUGAGUCCAAGUCUGAAAACCAGGUGCAUCUUGAGUAUUUCUCCUCCAUGGCGGGUGGUCCAUCUCCAUCGUGGAGUGUUGCUCUUUCAACAACAUCUGGUCUAUUUGAAUUGUACAUUACUGUUCUGAGUCUCCAAGAACCAGCUACAACACCUAUACAGUAAGAAUCGAACUGCAAAGGAGCUGAACCCUCUGUUGUUUCAUGACUCCCUUAAUCCCCUUGCGAGGAGCGGCCACCAUGGGGCAGGGACAGAGCCGUUGAGCGCCCUUGCUCGGUGGUCCACCACCCUUCUCGCCUCCCGUUCGAUGUCUCUUCUCCACACCCCUUCGUUCGAUGUGCUUCGACUCAUGAUGUACCAGAGUGGAGUCAGUAUAGAUAUCAGAGGAACUUGUUGGGAAAUGUCGCUUGUGUGGAGAGGCUGGAAAUACGAAGACAAGUAUGUGUUUGAUUAUUUUGAAGCUAUUUAACAUAUUAGUGGUGUCAACGAGGGUAAGUCCAGGUUCCACAUGUCAAGCUAUAUCAGUUUUUUUCGCAAAGAAAAUUCUCUUUAUACAACAAGACAAUACUUAUUUGUGAUUUUGCAUGCCGUCGUGGAAUUCUAGCGAACAUGUCAAUUUGUUCGUGAUUUCGGACGUACAGUAUUUGGGUCCCAUGCACGAGGAGACGUUGAUAAGUUACUUCAGAUAUACAUAUGGACUGAACUAAAUAUGUAUUUAGAGAUUAUAAAAGUGUGUGUUGUUUUGCAAUAGUUUUAACCCACUCAACUGUAUUAUAAAUGUGCAAAAAAAAUCUGGCCAGGUGGCAAAGCAGAGUAUUUAGCUAGGUGAGCUAUAGACCAGGAGCUGGUGGGCGGCAGGGAAAGCACGCCGCUUCUCCUAGAGGCGCGUGCGUCAAAAAAUGAACAUAUCUGAGCCAUGCGCCUUGCUUCUACUUGUUUCUAUAGAGAUUGGCUCGCUUAGAUUUUAGACUAGGCGGUUGCUGUCGUGGUCGCCAAGGUGAUCCUACAGCACUGCCAUGGGGAUUGUUCAUGAUUCUAUCUGGACAAGCGGUGGUGGUGAUUGGCUGGGUGGUGGUGUUGCCUUGGGGAGAGACAAAGUGAAGGUAAAAUCAAGCAAGAUCCGAUGGUGCUGCCGUGGGGAUAGCCAAAGUCAAGACGUUGACUACAGACUCGUCGCAACGAAUCUGGACGCUACGAGCCUGAUUCAUGGACCAAUGGAGGGUCUUGACGCUGUUAGGGUUGGGAUAGGAUGAAUGUGGAGGGUGACGUGCUUGGUUGAGUGCCUCUGGAAGAUUGUGUCCUCCCCGUGGAUCUGUCUAUGGCCAUCGUAGAGGAGAUUGUGGCCCUUCCCCGACGAGCAAGAACAAUGUAGGCGGCAGCAGGAGGUAGGGGUGGAUGCGGGGAUGGAUGUUGAUGGUUGCUCGAGGUUGCGGUGUGGAAAGUCAAGAGCACAAAGUCGAAAUCGGAUAGGAGUUUGAGUUCUUGUUGGCCGUGGAUGGCUCCCCACUUUAGCGAUGUAUUUUUUUCAGUUUGUUGAACCUAGAGUGCCAUUCGCAACAUGUUUCAGGUGACCCAGAAGUUCCCUUUCAUCAGCAGUUACAGAGCGUUCAGAGUUCCGAGCUCUGUCGACGUCGCCAGCCUUGUGAAAUGCCAACUGGUCGUCGCUUCUUUCGGUGCUGACAGGAAACACGUAGAUGUUACUGGACUGCAAUUACCCGGUGUGCUGGAUGACAUGUUUGCAUACAGAGGACCGCUCGGUGCGGUUUUCAGCAAGGACUCUGUGAGCCUGCACCUUUGGGCUCCUACAACACAUGUUUGGCUUCUAAAGACGACGCAUUUUACCAUCUCAAGUGUCGCCUCCGGUUCUGUACUAUUCCCGCUUAUAUGUAAAAUGUGCCCAAUAUAUCUUGUUGGAUGUGAGUGUGUGGUUCUUAGAUGGUCCGCCGGCCCUGCUCUAGAGACAGUGCAGCUCAAGGAGUCAAAUGGUAUUUGGAGUGUUACUUGACCAAGAGAGUGGGAAAACCGAUACUAUUUAUAUGAAGUUGACGUGUAUCAUCCAACUAAGGCACAAAUUCUGAAAUGUUUAGCUGGUGACCUUUAUGCUAGAGGGUAUGUGGUUGUGCGCAUUUCAGUUAUGUAGUUUAGGGAGAGGAACUUUCCGCAGAAGAAAAAAGUUCAGGGAAAGGAAGAAACUAGCUUGUUGUUUAUUUGAUCAGCCUUUCUGUAAAUGGAGCGCGGACCUGGUUGGUUGACAUUAACAAUGAAACAUUGAAGCCAGCUUCCUGGGAUGAAUUGGCCGAUGAUAAGCCAAAACUUGAUUCCUGCUCUGACAUAACCAUCUACGAAUUGCACAUUUGUGAUUUUAGUGCCCAUGAUGGCACAGUGGACAUUGACUCUCGUGGAGGAUUUCGUGCAUUUGCAUACUAGGCCUCAGCAGGAAUGUUUGACUCAUGUACAUUUGUUGCCAAGCUUUCAUUUUGCUGGCGUUGACGACAUUAAGAGCAACUGGAAAUUUUUUGAUAAGGAAAUAUUUCUCUUUAUAAAAGGUGGUAGGUCACUUUUGAGAUUUUGCUAGAUGUCUAUCAUUUUUUUUGCUGGAUAGCAAUGAGUGACAACUACUUGUAAGUACUUAGUUUAAACUGCAGCUCUUCAUUUUCGUCUCAUUUACUUCAGAUUGACUUAUUUGGUUAUACGGA